Molecule: non-coding RNA, 6953 nt
Organism: Salvia hispanica
Lineage: Eukaryota; Viridiplantae; Streptophyta; Magnoliopsida; Lamiales; Lamiaceae
Source: RefSeq, a predicted model, not a curated record
GAAUCCCAGGGACAAAAAGGCAGGGAAGAAUUCAAAGAGACAGAAUUGGUGGAUUUUGAUGCUGCUGGUUUCUCUUAACAGAAACGAUAUCAAGACCCAAAUCACGUCCAAGGCCUUAAAUGCCCCCCCUUAUGAGCGCAAUCUGGAGUUGUGAGUUGAAGUUGCAACCGAAGCAGAAACAAAAGCCCAGAAGAAAUUAGCUGCGUCGGAGGCUGAGAUUAGCUGCUUUUUGAUAAUUCUUUUGUUUAUAAAGAACUGUGUUUGCAAUCCUGGAUUCCCCUGCACCCCCAAACUAACCUAAAGAUCUUAUUUCGGAUUUUACUAAUUAUUUUUCCCUAUUAUAGUUAAUAGAGUAGAUGCUGACAGAGCUCUUGGUUCUCUCAUUUGAGUAGUGAGAUGGAUAGCUCCUUGCAUAGUUAUCACAAAUGAUUAGAAGCAACUCAAGAGCUAAAUAUGCUGGAACAAGAUUUAAACUUCAUGACGACUAAAGAAGAAAAGAAGCUGACGCAGGAGAGAAAUGUGGCUGAUAUAGUUUCAGAUGCUGAAGCAAGAGACCUCAGAUGCAUGUAAUCCCACGGCAUGCAAAAGCUGCUCAACACACGCAUUGGUGACUGGCUAAAAUGUGCUCUGAAAGAGAUAUAGGACUGAUUGUGGUAAGAAGGGCAAGCAUUGAAACAAUGUUUCAUGAUUUGUACCUGAAGUUUCUUGAUAAACCAAAUUUGAAACCAUUGAACAGAGAUUGUGUAGGCCACUUGUGAAAACUGCACGGUCUGAUUUUUCUACUUACGUUAUUCAUUUUGGGAAGCCGGAUCGAAUUUAUAAAUACUGGUGAUGCAUUAGAUACAUACAGACUAUAUAUAUACUAUAGCCUUUCUUCUUGUAUGAAUUUAUCUCAAUUGUUGAGAGUUUAGUCAUUGGAAUCAGUGUGUUGUUAAAGGUAUGCUUUAUUUUAGCUUUUAACAAACUUGUAAAAACCCAUUUCUGCUAGAAAAUGAGUUGGCUAAUGAAGCGAAAGAGGUUGAGAUUCAGGUAAAAAAGGCCAUAUCAUGUUCAUCUGACUUAUGUGCCCGCCGUUGCUACCCAUGGCUGUUACUGAAUUUGCCAUUUUUCUCAUACAAACUUUCGUUACGAAUAAUUCUAAAGAUAUAACAGAGCUUCACAAUCUUAUUGAUGCUCUUACGUAUUUUCCUAAUUUUCUGCUUCCAGCAAUGGCCGGAAUAUUAUAUCUAGAGUCCUUAAAAGUUUUCCUAAUUUUUCAGCUUGCUGCAAGACCUUAAUCCCCAGAGUCAUUACAACAGCUGAUUGAAAUAGCUAAGAACCCUGCUAAUUCUUGAAAUUUAUCUCCGUUGGCUGUUGGUAAAGAAGAAGAAAUUGCACGAAUCCCAGGGACAAAAAGGCAGGGAAGAAUUCAAAGAGACAGAAUUGGUGGAUUUUGAUGCUGCUGGUUUCUCUUAACAGAAACGAUAUCAAGACCCAAAUCACGUCCAAGGCCUUAAAUGCCCCCCCUUAUGAGCGCAAUCUGGAGUUGUGAGUUGAAGUUGCAACCGAAGCAGAAACAAAAGCCCAGAAGAAAUUAGCUGCGUCGGAGGCUGAGAUUAGCUGCUUUGUGAUAAUUCUUUUGUUUAUAAAGAACUGUGUUUGCAAUCCUGGAUUCCCCUGCACCCCCAAACUAACCUAAAGAUCUUAUUUCGGAUUUUACUAAUUAUUUUUCCCUAUUAUAGUUAAUAGAGUAGAUGCUGACAGAGCUCUUGGUUCUCUCAUUUGAGUAGUGAGAUGGAUAGCUCCUUGCAUAGUUAUCACAAAUGAUUAGAAGCAACUCAAGAGCUAAAUAUGCUGGAACAAGAUUUAAACUUUAUGACGACUAAAGAAGAAAAGAAGCUGACGCAGGAGAGAAAUGUGGCUGAUAUAGUUUCAGAUGCUGAAGCAAGAGACCUCAGAUGCAUGUAAUCCCACGGCAUGCAAAAGCUGCUCAACACACGCAUUGGUGACUGGCUAAAAUGUGCUCUGAAAGAGAUAUAGGACUGAUUGUGGUAAGAAGGGCAAGCAUUGAAACAAUGUUUCAUGAUUUGUACCUGAAGUUUCUUGAUAAACCAAAUUUGAAACCAUUGAACAGAGAUUGUGUAGGCCACUUGUGAAAACUGCACGGUCUGAUUUUUCUACUUACGUUAUUCAUUUUGGGAAGCCGGAUCGAAUUUAUAAAUACUGGUGAUGCAUUAGAUACAUACAGACUAUAUAUAUACUAUAGCCUUUCUUCUUGUAUGAAUUUAUCUCAAUUGUUGAGAGUUUAGUCAUUGGAAUCAGUGUGUUGUUAAAGCUUGCUGCAAGACCUUAAUCCCUAGAGUCAUUACAACAGCUGAUUGAAAUAGCUGAGAACCCUGCUAAUUCUUGAAAUUUAUCUCCGUUGGUUGUUGGUAAAGAAGAAGAAAUUGCACGAAUCCCAGGGACAAAAAGGCAGGGAAGAAUUCAAAGAGACAGAAUUGGUGGAUUUUGAUGCUGCUGGUUUCUCUUAACAGAAACGAUAUCAAGACCCAAAUCACGUCCAAGGCCUUAAAUGCCCCCCCUUAUGAGCGCAAUCUGGAGUUGUGAGUUGAAGUUGCAACCGAAGCAGAAACAAAAGCCCAGAAGAAAUUAGCUGCGUCGGAGGCUGAGAUUAGCUGCUUUGUGAUAAUUCUUUUGUUUAUAAAGAACUGUGUUUGCAAUCCUGGAUUCCCCUGCACCCCCAAACUAACCUAAAGAUCUUAUUUCGGAUUUUACUAAUUAUUUUUCCCUAUUAUAGUUAAUAGAGUAGAUGCUGACAGAGCUCUUGGUUCUCUCAUUUGAGUAGUGAGAUGGAUAGCUCCUUGCAUAGUUAUCACAAAUGAUUAGAAGCAACUCAAGAGCUAAAUAUGCUGGAACAAGAUUUAAACUUUAUGACGACUAAAGAAGAAAUGAAGCUGACGCAGGAGAGAAAUGUGGCUGAUAUAGUUUCAGAUGCUGAAGCAAGAGACCUCAGAUGCAUGUAAUCCCACGGCAUGCAAAAGCUGCUCAACACACGCAUUGGUGACUGGCUAAAAUGUGCUCUGAAAGAGAUAUAGGACUGAUUGUGGUAAGAAGGGCAAGCAUUGAAACAAUGUUUCAUGAUUUGUACCUGAAGUUUCUUGAUAAACCAAAUUUGAAACCAUUGAACAGAGAUUGUGUAGGCCACUUGUGAAAACUGCACGGUCUGAUUUUUCUACUUACGUUAUUCAUUUUGGGAAGCCGGAUCGAAUUUAUAAAUACUGCUUGCUGCAAGACCUUAAUCCCCAGAGUCAUUACAACAGCUGAUUGAAAUAGCUAAGAACCCUGCUAAUUCUGGAAAUUUAUCUCCGUUGGCUGUUGGUAAAGAAGAAGAAAUUGCACGAAUCCCAGGGACAAAAAGGCAGGGAAGAAUUCAAAGAGACAGAAUUGGUGGAUUUUGAUGCUGCUGGUUUCUCUUAACAGAAACGAGAUCAAGACCCAAAUCACGUCCAAGGCCUUAAAUGCCCCCCCUUAUGAGCGCAAUCUGGAGUUGUGAGUUGAAGUUGCAACCGAAGCAGAAACAAAAGCCCAGAAGAAAUUAGCUGCGUCGGAGGCUGAGAUUAGCUGCUUUGUGAUAAUUCUUUUGUUUAUAAAGAACUGUGUUUGCAAUCCUGGAUUCCCCUGUACCCCCAAACUAACCUAAAGAUCUUAUUUCGGAUUUUACUAAUUAUUUUUCCCUAUUAUAAUUAAUAGAGUAGAUGCUGACAGAGCUCUUGGUUCUCUCAUUUGAGUAGUGAGAUGGAUAGCUCCUUGCAUAGUUAUCACAAAUGAUUAGAAGCAACUCAAGAGCUAAAUAUGCUGGAACAAGAUUUAAACUUUAUGACGACUAAAGAAAAAAAGAAGCUGACGCAGGAGAGAAAUGUGGCUGAUAUAGUUUCAGAUGCUGAAGCAAGAGACCUCAGAUGCAUGUAAUCCCACGGCAUGCAAAAGCUGCUCAACACACGCAUUGGUGACUGGCUAAAAUGUGCUCUGAAAGAGAUAUAGGACUGAUUGUGGUAAGAAGGGCAAGCAUUGAAACAAUGUUUCAUGAUUUGUACCUGAAGUUUCUUGAUAAACCAAAUUUGAAACCAUUGAACAGAGAUUGUGUAGGCCACUUGUGAAAACUGCACGGUCUGAUUUUUCUACUUACGUUAUUCAUUUUGGGAAGCCGGAUCGAAUUUAUAAAUACUGGUGAUGCAUUAGAUACAUACAGACUAUAUAUAUACUAUAGCCUUUCUUCUUGUAUGAAUUUAUCUCAAUUGUUGAGAGUUUAGUCAUUGGAAUCAGUGUGUUGUUAAAGCUUGCUGCAAGACCUUAAUCCCCAGAGUCAUUACAACAGCUGAUUGAAAUAGCUAAGAACCCUGCUAAUUCUGGAAAUUUAUCUCCGUUGGCUGUUGGUAAAGAAGAAGAAAUUGCACGAAUCCCAGGGACAAAAAGGCAGGGAAGAAUUCAAAGAGACAGAAUUGGUGGAUUUUGAUGCUGCUGGUUUCUCUUAACAAGUACAAAUAUUGGAUCUACCUUUGAUUUCAUAUUUAUGUAUGCAGGCGGCAGUAGUAUAAUGAUUGUUUUAGAAGAGAUUUGAUGCAGUUCUGUGUUAUGUUUGUCAUAUGGGGGGGUUUGAUAAUGCUUGUGACCUCUACACACACUAAAUAAUGGUUUUAUCUCCAACUCUCUAUCUCCGUCUGACAUGUUCAUGUGAUUAUGCUUGCAAUUGACACAUUAUAUAACUUACUUUGUUGGUAUUCAUAAAAGAAGGAUGUUGUCUGCGAAUUUUCUCAAUUAUUGUCUCCUGAACACAAAUGAAUGCUUUGGAAUUUUUAUCCACCGAUCGCUUACAUUGCAGUCCCAACAAUUUGUCUUCUUGUCUUUAAAUUGAUUUUCAAGAUAACACAGGGGCGUCUUGUCUUGUGUUGCAUUUGCAUACGCAUUUUAACAUCCAGUUGAUUUCCUAAAACAUCUUUAACUGUGCCUCCUUCCCAUUUUAAAUGUUUAAUUUCUUUUGGGCAAGGUUACUAAGGAGAGAAGGUUGAUUGGAUUAAGAAGUGGUGUCCUAGGGACCACAUGUAUAAUGUUAAAAAAGUGAUAUGGCCCAUUUAAUUUUAUCCAUAAAUUAGGUUGAAUUAUGCUUUCAAGUAAUAAUUUGUAUGCACUGUGUUUGAUUCCACGCGAUAAAUAAUGGUCGGAGAGAUGCGUGUAUACACUAGUCAUCUUGGGAUGAACUUCUGUGGUGCGUGUGGGUACAUGCAUGUAAUUUUUCCACUUUAUGUGCUUUAUUUUGUGUUAAACUAAUGCUAUAGUUUCCCCAUUUUAUGUUAUUUAGGUUGCAAUUUUAGUUGCCAUGUUUCCAUCAAGGAUCUUGUCAAUUUUUUAGUCUUUAGUCUAUCUAUAAGAGGAGAUUAUAUGAAAAAUGUAACCGAUUCUUUCGUUUCUUUGGGCUACUGGCCAUCUGCCGGGAAUUUCGGAUACAUUUUAGUUGCCGUUGUUUUGUGUGAAUGAACCAUGUUUUGUAGUAUUUCUGUAGACUAUAAAAUUUGGAACGGCUUUUUUCUUCAAAUAUUUCUCAUAGAACAUCAUACUUUAUUCUUCUUUUUUUACUUUUGAAAUGCUAUGUCAUAUGUUAGUGCAACUUGUAGAAACGAGAUCAAGACCCAAAUCACGUCCAAGGCCUUAAAUGCCCCCCCUUAUGAGCGCAAUCUGGAGUUGUGAGUUGAAGUUGCAACCGAAGCAGAAACAAAAGCCCAGAAGAAAUUAGCUGCGUCGGAGGCUGAGAUUAGCUGCUUUGUGAUAAUUCUUUUGUUUAUAAAGAACUGUGUUUGCAAUCCUGGAUUCCCCUGUACCCCCAAACUAACCUAAAGAUCUUAUUUCGGAUUUUACUAAUUAUUUUUCCCUAUUAUAAUUAAUAGAGUAGAUGCUGACAGAGCUCUUGGUUCUCUCAUUUGAGUAGUGAGAUGGAUAGCUCCUUGCAUAGUUAUCACAAAUUAUUAGAAGCAACUCAAGAGCUAAAUAUGCUGGAACAAGAUUUAAACUUUAUGACGACUAAAGAAGAAAAGAAGCUGACGCAGGAGAGAAAUGUGGCUGAUAUAGUUUCAGAUGCUGAAGCAAGAGACCUCAGAUGCAUGUAAUCCCACGGCAUGCAAAAGCUGCUCAACACACGCAUGUGUUUAUGUGCUGCAGAUUGAAUGGGUGGGGUAAAGAUGGUUUUGAUGUCAUUCUAACAAAAAUGGAGAAACAAAUUAGCGUGCCAGGAACCAUUUCCUCUCCAUACUAUUUGUGGCUCUAUUUGGAAGAUGUUGAUGGUCAACAAUCUUUUCUAAAAACCGCCAUCUCUACACCACAUGAAAUAUUUACAUUUGCUCAUUCCGAAAGGCAGCUGUCCUUUGAUGAUGCUGUGUUUGGACAUUCAUUGCCAUCCGGACCAUAUUGUGCUUGGCCGUGUUAUGAUCUGUUGAUAGUUCUUUAUCAGAAUGUAGUGUGUUUAUUUACAUAGUAAAUGUCAUUUUGGUCCUAAACAUUUGUCUAAAUAUGAAUUUGGUCAAACACAUUAAUUUUUUGAAAAACGGGUCCAUAACAAAUACCCUUUUCUUGAUGGUUCCGAGAAAAAAAUAACGGUUAACGCUAAUUGUACAGUGGCAUGACCGUUAGUUUUUUGACGAAGCUGUCAAAAAAGGACCACUCCGACGAGGAUUUCAUUUGUUAUCGACCAGUUUUUUAAAAGUGAAUGUUUUGGACCGAAUUCGUAUUUUGAUCAUAUGUUUAGGACCAAAAUUGAUCUUUACUCUUAUUUAUAAUGUGUAGUGUUUUUAUUUAUUUAGUUUGUGUAGUGGUGUAUAUGUGUGCAAUGUAGUGUAUUUCGUUAUAGUGUGUACAAUUUGUAGUGUGUGAAAUAUAUGUUGUGUAGUUUAUGUAUAUUAUAUGCAGCAUGUGUUUUGAGUGUGUAA